RNAcentral lists this transfer RNA (72 nucleotides) under Verrucomicrobiales bacterium. RNAcentral describes it as "tRNA-Val". It matches the Rfam family "tRNA". Rfam says of the family: Transfer RNA (tRNA) molecules are approximately 80 nucleotides in length. Lineage: Bacteria; Pseudomonadati; Verrucomicrobiota; Verrucomicrobiia; Verrucomicrobiales. The record is from RNAcentral.
GCAGCGUUAGCUUAGCGGUAGAGCGUCCGCCUCACACGCGGAAGGUCGCUGGUUCGAUCCCAGCACGCUGCA